Oncorhynchus keta (chum salmon) is the source of this 477-nucleotide long non-coding RNA. RefSeq lists it as uncharacterized. The transcript is spliced from 3 exons. NCBI's taxonomy places the organism in Eukaryota, Metazoa, Chordata, Actinopteri, Salmoniformes, Salmonidae. The record is from RefSeq and is a predicted model, not a curated record.
UUAUACAGGUAUAUUGACAGAAAACAUAAUAACAGAUUUUAUAGGGCCUUAGAGCUGUUUAUUAACUAGGUAUAUUGACAGAAAACAUAACAGAUUGUAUAGGGCCUUAGAGCUGUUUAUUAACUAGGUAUAUUGACAGAAAACAUAACAGAUUGUAUAGGGCCUUAGAGCUGUUUAUUAACUAGGUAUAUUGACAGAAAUCAUAACAGAUUUUAUAGGGCCUUAGAGCUGUUUAUUAACUAGGUAUAUUGACAGAAAACAUAACAGAUUGUAUAGGGCCUUAGAGCUGUUUAUUAACUAGGUAUAUUGACAGAAAACAUAACAGAUUGUAUAGGGCCUUAGAGCUGUUUAUUAACUAGGUAUAUUGACAGAAAACAUAACAGAUUUUAUAGGGCCUUAGAGCUGUUUAUUAACUAGGUAUAUUGACAGAAAACAUAAUAACAGAUUUUAUAGGGUGAGUUGACAACAUAGUGCCCC